GACGAACGCUGGCGGCGUGCUUAACACAUGCAAGUCGAACGGAAAGGCCCUGCUUGCAGGGUACUCGAGUGGCGAACGGGUGAGUAACACGUGGGUGAUCUGCCCUGCACUUCGGGAUAAGCCUGGGAAACUGGGUCUAAUACCGGAUAUGACCUUCCAUGUAGUGUGGGGGGUGGAAAGAUUUAUCGGUGUGGGAUGAGCCCGCGGCCUAUCAGCUUGUUGGUGGGGUAAUGGCCUACCAAGGCGUCGACGGGUAGCCGGCCUGAGAGGGUGGACGGCCACAUUGGGACUGGGAUACGGCCCAGACUCCUACGGGAGGCAGCAGUGGGGAAUAUUGCACAAUGGGCGGAAGCCUUAUGCAGCGACGCCGCGUGGGGGAUGACGGCCUUCGGGUUGUAAACCUCUUUCGACAGGGACGAAGCUUCGGUGACGGUACCUGUAUAAGAAGCACCGGCUAACUACGUG
This 465-nucleotide ribosomal RNA is filed under the name uncultured bacterium. RNAcentral describes it as "partial 16S ribosomal RNA". It matches the Rfam family "Bacterial small subunit ribosomal RNA", at positions 28 to 507 of the family's 1533-position model. The record is from RNAcentral.